This 1527-nucleotide ribosomal RNA is filed under the name Mycobacterium sp. RNAcentral's name for it is "bacterial SSU rRNA". It matches the Rfam family "Bacterial small subunit ribosomal RNA". The record is from RNAcentral. Lineage: Bacteria; Bacillati; Actinomycetota; Actinomycetes; Mycobacteriales; Mycobacteriaceae.
UUGGAGAGUUUGAUUCUGGCUCAGGACGAACGCUGGCGGCGUGCUUAACACAUGCAAGUCGAACGGUAAGGCCCUUCGGGGUACACGAGUGGCGAACGGGUGAGUAACACGUGGGUAAUCUGCCCUGCACAUCGGGAUAAGCCUGGGAAACUGGGUCUAAUACCGAAUAGGACCACAGAACACAUGUCCUGUGGUGGAAAGCUUUUGCGGUGUGGGAUGGGCCCGCGGCCUAUCAGCUUGUUGGUGGGGUGAUGGCCCACCAAGGCGACGACGGGUAGCCGGCCUGAGAGGGUGUCCGGCCACACUGGGACUGAGAUACGGCCCAGACUCCUACGGGAGGCAGCAGUGGGGAAUAUUGCACAAUGGGCGAAAGCCUGAUGCAGCGACGCCGCGUGGGGGAUGACGGCCUUCGGGUUGUAAACCUCUUUCACCAUCGACGAAGGUCCGGGUGUUCUCGGGCUGACGGUAGGUGGAGAAGAAGCACCGGCCAACUACGUGCCAGCAGCCGCGGUAAUACGUAGGGUGCGAGCGUUGUCCGGAAUUACUGGGCGUAAAGAGCUCGUAGGUGGUUUGUCGCGUUGUUCGUGAAAUCUCACGGCUUAACUGUGAGCGUGCGGGCGAUACGGGCAGACUUGAGUACUGCAGGGGAGACUGGAAUUCCUGGUGUAGCGGUGGAAUGCGCAGAUAUCAGGAGGAACACCGGUGGCGAAGGCGGGUCUCUGGGCAGUAACUGACGCUGAGGAGCGAAAGCGUGGGGAGCGAACAGGAUUAGAUACCCUGGUAGUCCACGCCGUAAACGGUGGGUACUAGGUGUGGGUUUCCUUCCUUGGGAUCCGUGCCGUAGCUAACGCAUUAAGUACCCCGCCUGGGGAGUACGGCCGCAAGGCUAAAACUCAAAGAAAUUGACGGGGGCCCGCACAAGCGGCGGAGCAUGUGGAUUAAUUCGAUGCAACGCGAAGAACCUUACCUGGGUUUGACAUGCACAGGACGCCGGCAGAGAUGUCGGUUCCCUUGUGGCCUGUGUGCAGGUGGUGCAUGGCUGUCGUCAGCUCGUGUCGUGAGAUGUUGGGUUAAGUCCCGCAACGAGCGCAACCCUUGUCUCAUGUUGCCAGCGGGUAAUGCCGGGGACUCGUGAGAGACUGCCGGGGUCAACUCGGAGGAAGGUGGGGAUGACGUCAAGUCAUCAUGCCCCUUAUGUCCAGGGCUUCACACAUGCUACAAUGGCCGGUACAAAGGGCUGCGAUGCCGCGAGGUUAAGCGAAUCCUUUUAAAGCCGGUCUCAGUUCGGAUCGGGGUCUGCAACUCGACCCCGUGAAGUCGGAGUCGCUAGUAAUCGCAGAUCAGCAACGCUGCGGUGAAUACGUUCCCGGGCCUUGUACACACCGCCCGUCACGUCAUGAAAGUCGGUAACACCCGAAGCCAGUGGCCUAACCCUUUGGGAGGGAGCUGUCGAAGGUGGGAUCGGCGAUUGGGACGAAGUCGUAACAAGGUAGCCGUACCGGAAGGUGCGGCUGGAUCACCUCCUUU